CUGUAGAACAACAGCAGGCUUUAUAUGAAAUGUAGGCUACUGUACAGAGCAAAUUUAAUACAACAUUCCCUGCAUUCAUAUAAAAUAGGAGGUGCCUUGCAUAUGGCAUUAACAUGUGACAUGAAAACAAGUCAUAUCUGCAACUUGCACUAAAAUAAUACAAAUAAAUAAAUAGAUAUUUUAGCAACCAAUAAGAGUUCUUUAAAUAAACACUUUCAGAAACAAUUUUAGUAGCAUCAGUAAAGUUUGGGGAAAACCUGUGGGGUAGGGCCUAACGUUAAUCUUCAGUGUGUGUAAAAAGUUUUUUUUUUUUUUUUUAUGGAAAUACGGUGGCCGAGAGAGGUCAACUCACUUCAAAUGAAAAAAUGAAAAGAAAAAAAAAACAUGCAAACAGAAAAAACACCAGCAAAUAAAAAAAAAUACAUAAUUCAACAGAAAAUGAUGGCUGUGGUGAAACAAGCACUUAAAUAAUGGAACUAAGACCUGUGAGAGUGCUGGAGAAAUCAAGUGUACCAAGUCCUCUGUCUCCUCAGCCAUGUAAGAGAUCUUCAGAUAUCAAGAGAGUGAGGAGUUAAAUGAAAUCAAAGAGCUAAAAGAUCUACAAUAUUAGUGCCAAUUCAGUAUGAAAACAGAGAGAGAGCUGAGGGAGUGGAAAGAAAUGCAUGUUAUUGUGCAAGGGGUAGUUGCGUGGACUAUCAGUGGAAGGACAGAAAGUGCUGAGAUUUCAUUAUAAAGACAUUUUCAUUUGUGUUCUGAAGAUGAACAAAAGGCUUGCUGGUUUGGAACAACAUGAGGGCAGUCAUAAGAACCAAGCGGAAUGAUGAGGAUAAGCUCUUCAAAAAAUGAAACCUGCCUGAAUAAUGAGAGAAGAAAUAUGCAUGAUUGCGUGAUUUGUAAAUAAACACACAAAGUACAUUUAGUGUAACUCUCAGCCUGUUAUUUUAAGUUUAAAGAAAAGUAAAAUAAUUUAUUGUAGCAUUGCUGUUUGAGAAAUUCACUGUUGUUCAUUAUAUUGCAGUUGUUUGCAAAUAAAACUUGUUAUUCUGAAAAUACUGUUUGCAUUUCAGUGUUACUCUUCAGCAUUUUAUUAGUAUUGCACUUCGGUUGUAUUGUAUUGUUCUUCAGUUGUAUUAUAUAUUG
This is a long non-coding RNA of Cyprinus carpio carpio, 1140 nucleotides long. The record is from Ensembl. Lineage: Eukaryota; Metazoa; Chordata; Actinopteri; Cypriniformes; Cyprinidae.